CCCUUAGAUGUUCUGGGCUGCACUCGCGCUACACUGAUGCACUCAACGAGUUUACGACCUUGCCCGAUAGGGUUGGGUAAUCUUUUUAAAAUGCAUCGUGAUGGGGAUAGAUUAUUGCAAUUAUUAAUCUUCAACGAGGAAUUCCUAGUAAGCGCGAGUCAUCAGCUCGUGCUGAUUACGUCCCUGCCCUUUGUACACACCGCCCGUCGCUCCUACCGAUUGAGUGCUCAGGUGAAUAAUUCGGACUGCAGCAAUGUUUGGAUCCCGAACGUUGCAGCGGAAAGUUUAGUGAACCUUAUCACUUAGAGGAAGGAGAAGUCGUAACA
Molecule: ribosomal RNA, 326 nt
Filed under: uncultured eukaryote
Lineage: Eukaryota
Description: partial 18S ribosomal RNA
Rfam family: Eukaryotic small subunit ribosomal RNA
Source: RNAcentral